GAUGAACGCUGGCGGCGUGCCUAAUACAUGCAAGUCGAGCGAACAGACGAGGAGCUUGCUCCUCUGACGUUAGCGGCGGACGGGUGAGUAACACGUGGAUAACCUACCUAUAAGACUGGGAUAACUUCGGGAAACCGGAGCUAAUACCGGAUAAUAUAUUGAACCGCAUGGUUCAAUAGUUAAAGACGGUUUUGCUGUCACUUAUAGAUGGAUCCGCGCCGCAUUAGCUAGUUGGUAAGGUAACGGCUUACCAAGGCGACGAUGCGUAGCCGACCUGAGAGGGUGAUCGGCCACCCUGGAACUGAGACACGGUCCAGACUCCUACGGGAGGCAGCAGUAGGGAAUCUUCCGCAAUGGGCGAAUGCCUGACGGAGCAACGCCGCGUGAGUGAUGAAGGUCUUCGGAUCGUAAAACUCUGUUAUUAGGGAAGAACAAAUGUGUAAGUAACUAUGCACGUCUUGACGGUACCUAAUCAGAAAGCCACGGCUAACUACGUG
Molecule: ribosomal RNA, 497 nt
Filed under: uncultured bacterium
Lineage: Bacteria
Description: partial 16S ribosomal RNA
Rfam family: Bacterial small subunit ribosomal RNA
Source: RNAcentral